AAAGCGGAUGCUGCUCACGCGGCCGUUCUCCAAGGCCCCGGGUAAUUCGGCCUCCAGCGCCUCCAGCACCUCCAGAAUGUGGAUGUGGACAUAAGCCAGCUUCAACCAUGCUAAAGAUGAUGGAGCCACAAUACAGAGGGAACCUGGGUCCCUGAGUCAUCUGAUGGGAUGACAUGUCUCAUCCAAUCUGGAACACCUGCUUCCCAUUACACAGGAGAGAAAUAAACUGUCUCCUUAAUGCCA
Molecule: long non-coding RNA, 243 nt
Organism: Phyllostomus discolor (pale spear-nosed bat)
Lineage: Eukaryota; Metazoa; Chordata; Mammalia; Chiroptera; Phyllostomidae
Exons: 2
Source: RefSeq, a predicted model, not a curated record